GAUCAAUUCAAUGUAGAUUAUAGAUCUAAAUAAGAAAAAACAGAAUAUCUUUAUGACCUUUUAGUAGUCAAAAAAUAUCUUACACAAGACACAAAAGUUGUAACCAUAAGGUAAAUAUUGAUGAACUGGACUACAUUAAAAUGAAGAACUUCUGUUCACCACAAAGUGAAACAUCGUCUCUACUAAAAAUACAAAAAAUUAGCCGGGCAUGGUGGUGGAUGCCUGUAGUCCCAGCUACUUGGGAGGCUGAGGCAGGAGAAUCACUGGAACCUG
Molecule: long non-coding RNA, 273 nt
Filed under: Pan troglodytes (chimpanzee)
Lineage: Eukaryota; Metazoa; Chordata; Mammalia; Primates; Hominidae
Description: long non-coding RNA NONPTRT011152
Source: RNAcentral